CGAAAUCCAAUCCACGAAAUAAUUUGAUCUAUGGACAGCAUCAUUGUGGUAAAGGUCGUAAUGCCAGAGGAAUCAUUACCGCAAGGCAUAAAGGGGGAGGUCAUAAGUGUCUAUACCGUAAAAUCGAUUUUCGACGGAAUGAAAAAGACUAUUUAUUUGAGAUCUUGAUAAGGUGAAUACCCAGUCUAUUCAAUGCUAGGCAUAAUGAGUAUAAGGACCUCAAAAAAAUCUCUUUUCGUCAUAUGAACUUUAAGGUGUAUGAAGUUUCAUAUUUUAUUUUCGCCAAAAGUCCAAUCCAUCUACGAACACCGUUCUGUCUUUCAAGACUUCCGAUCCUCGCUUAUCCUUCACUUCAUUCUUUUUCUUUCUGAAGUUUCGAUGUAAAGAUUCCUCUACCAACGCAUUUAACUCCAUUUGUUAGAAUAGCUUCCAUUGAGUCUCUGCACCUAUCCUUUUUUUCUGAACCUUUGUUUGUUUUCGGAAAACAGGAUUUGGCCUGCGGUGCGGUAAGGCACCACCCUGUUGUGCCAGCAGCCAACGCUGAGCUUGCCGUUAAAGAGUAAGAUGCUGAUUCUAUAGGAAUUUUCAUCUCAAGAUUUAGAAGAUCUUGCGUUGGUAUAUUCCUUAUUAUUAUUAUUUAGCAAAGCUAUCGAAGAAGAGGAAUAGAAAGGUUCAUAAUAAGCUAAUAAGCUUUCGCCCGGAAACUCAACAAAUUCGACCCCGCAUUGUUCACAAAAUUUCGGGUCUUCUUUUUCAUCUCCGAUUACUCGAUAAGCAGAGGGGCUCCUUCCCGUGUAGCCGGCCACAACGUGCUUCCUCUCGAACAGAGCUCCUCGCAGAAAUUCCAGAUCAUUGAAGAGGAAUAAAAAAAAAUGGUAGUUUCGUAGGUUCAAUUCCUACUGGAUGCACGUGAUUCGAACCAGGGGAGGAUCUUCCACCUUGUUGGUCAUAGCACCAGUACUUGGAUCCUUUCCGCGUUCGAGAAUCCCCCCUUCUUCCACUCCGCCUCGAAGAGUAACUAGGACGAAUUUUGGAAGUCAAAUCAUUUCACGGGCCUGGUGAAAUGAAAAACUACGAAGAGGAAUUCACAUUGAACUAUCCAUGUGGCUGAGAGCCCUCACAACCCAGCUACCUUGUUACGACUUCACUCCAGUCACUAGCCCUGCAUUCUAAAAUAAAUAAAAUCAGAUAAGCUUUACCGUUUGAAACCUCGAUUCAAACAUUGAAAUUGAAGCCGGAAUCGCUAGUAAUCGCCGGUCAGCCAUACCCCGGAAUAGCAGAAAUAGGUUCGUGUUCCGCUUCCAAAGUCAGUCGUCUUUGCCCAAGGGCUUGGCCAGUUACUCGAGAUUCUCGAUUAUUGUAUUUACAAAAUACCGUCUCAAUUCAUCCUAUUUCAUCAGAUCCGGGAUGUGAUAUGGUUCCGAAGGAUGAACCGGAUUCUCAAAAUACUUCAAUUGGUACACGCAAGAAAUAGGCUAAUUCAGCAGCCUUUUGUUCAAUUUCUCGUGGAGUCAAAUUCUCAUCAGUACGAGUCUUAUCUUUCUCAUUCACUCUAUUCUUUUAGAAAUGGAUUUGAGCUAUUGCAAUUCUUUUCCUGAUAGCGGGUCACAUGUAUAGGACCAGCUCCAUCUACAAAUGGAUAAGAUCCCAGUCUAGUUUAUAGGAGGUUUUGAAAAGAAAGGACCCUUGAAUUGAAGUGAUGAGGUCGGAAAGAGGGGGAAGCUUUUAUUUUGUUAUAUCAUCAGGGUAAUGAUCCAUCAACCUGCCUUGGGUUACUAAUUGGUGGAAUACUGGGCAAUCCGAAAUCUUUUUGAAUAAUAUUCAAGAAAAGAGUCUUCUAGAAAGUCCCGCGUAAGCCUUUGGAAGCAAACAAUCGUAAAAAGGAAAAAUCGAGAAGUAGUCUAAGGAUCCAACUUUCGAUUCACUCGUGGGAUCCGGGCGGUCCGGGGGGGACCACCACGGCUCCUCUCUUCUCGAGAAUCCAUACGGUUGACUCUGUCUUUUUAACAUCCUUGAUCUUGAUUUGUUUCCCCAUUUUUUUCAUUCUAGUUAUUGUCAUGGGAAGGAAUGAAGAAGAUUAGAGAUCCAAUCAAAUAUUGGUGAUGAAUUCAAACUAGUGGUUGGUUAAUGAGACUCCUAACUUAAUUUAGAUUGGAAAACAAAACGCAAUGGGAGACUUGCUCCAUAGAACCCCCCCCCCCCCCCAGAGACUUUCGUCCCCAGAUCAGGGCUCAAGUGAUUCACCGAAGCGACGAGACCUUGAAAGCUGCUUUUUCAAGUGUCAGUAGCUUCUAUGAUCGAUCGAUAUAAACAUCAACAGCUCCGAAUUGGAUCAGUUUCUCCUCAACAAAUAAGUGCUUGGGCCACUAAAAUCCUACCUAAUGGAGAGAUAGUUGGAGAGGUAACAAACCAUUUUCAUUGUUACUGUUCCGGCUGUUAAAAUUAGAUCCGCUUGUCUAGGACUCAAUCUUGGUACUAGUCCAUAACGAUCAAAGUCGAAGCGUGAGCCUAUUAGUGAAGCAACAAAGAGAUGGUUGAAUCAAAAAAAUUUGUUUAAAGUUCAACUUUUUCAGAGGGCAAGGCAAUAUGAAUGUUCUAUCAUGUUCCAUCAAUACUCUAAAGGGGUUAUACGAUAUAUCCGGUGUGGAAGUAGGCCAACAUUUCUAUUGGCAAAUAGGGGGUUUCCAAGUACUUAAGUCCCGCAACGAGCGCAACCCUCGUGUUUAGUUGCCAUCGUUGAGUUUGGAACCCUGAACAGACUGCCGGUGAUAAGCCGGAGGAAGGUGAGGAUGACGUCAAGUCAUCAUGG
Molecule: long non-coding RNA, 2809 nt
Filed under: Nicotiana tabacum (common tobacco)
Lineage: Eukaryota; Viridiplantae; Streptophyta; Magnoliopsida; Solanales; Solanaceae
Description: long non-coding RNA (NTAB_LNC013412)
Rfam family: Bacterial small subunit ribosomal RNA (bases 2658-2807)
Source: RNAcentral